CCUGAUCCCCCGUGCGGUAUCACCUCGUUGAAUCCCCCAGGGCCGGAAGGCAGCAAGGGCAGACGGGCUCUGGUAGGUGUGCGGGGGAUCCCUUUA
RNAcentral lists this signal recognition particle RNA (96 nucleotides) under Actinomycetes bacterium. RNAcentral describes it as "signal recognition particle sRNA small type". It matches the Rfam family "Bacterial small signal recognition particle RNA". From Rfam's summary of the family: The signal recognition particle (SRP) is a universally conserved ribonucleoprotein involved in the co-translational targeting of proteins to membranes. Archaeal SRP consists of a 7S RNA and homologues of the eukaryotic SRP19 and SRP54 proteins. In most bacteria, the SRP consists of a 4.5S RNA and the Ffh protein (a homologue of the eukaryotic SRP54 protein). The record is from RNAcentral. Lineage: Bacteria; Bacillati; Actinomycetota; Actinomycetes. RNAcentral also lists the same sequence under 1 other name.